Molecule: ribosomal RNA, 361 nt
Filed under: uncultured soil bacterium
Lineage: Bacteria
Description: bacterial SSU rRNA
Rfam family: Bacterial small subunit ribosomal RNA
Source: RNAcentral
AGGAUGAACGCUGGCGGCGUGCUUAACACAUGCAAGUCGAACGAUGAAGGCUGGAGCUUGCUCUGGCUGGAUUAGUGGCGAACGGGUGAGUAACACGUGAGUAACCUGCCCCAGACUCUGGGAUAAGCGCUGGAAACGGCGUCUAAUACCGGAUACGAGCUUCCACCGCAUGGUGAGGAGCUGGAAAGAAUUUCGGUCUGGGAUGGACUCGCGGCCUAUCAGCUUGUUGGUGAGUAAUGGCUCACCAAGGCGACGACGGGUACGCCGGGCCUGGAGAGGGUCGACCGGCCACGACGUGGGACUGAGACACGGCCAGACUCCACGGGAGGCAGCGAGUGGGGAAUAGUUGCACAAGUGGGCG